GAGUCAAGUCAAGAGACUGUUUCUUAUGAACCACUGUGCUCUGGUAUUCGUGCUUUGAAGGGAUGCUUUUGAAGGAUGCGGCCGCCCUGGAAUACCGAGCUGGGAGUCGAGCAGCAAACAGCCAUCUCCUCCCAUGUUCAGGGGUGACGGUGAAGGAGCUGUGGGACCGGAUACUGGACGGUGGCUUGUUGUGCCACGGGGCUUUGUGCCAGAGCAGGAUCGUUCACGAUCUGUGGAGCGAGCUCGGAUCACAUUCCUGCCAGUGUCGUCCGAGAGAUGUGCAACGUCUGCAAAACCAGCAAUUGGGCUACGGUUUCAAGAACAAUGGGACAAGAACUGGGCCGACGCGACUGUAUCCUCAUUCAUCCUCAUCCCGUUCAUGGUGA
This 386-nucleotide long non-coding RNA is filed under the name Scophthalmus maximus (turbot). RNAcentral's name for it is "lncRNA (ENSSMAG00000037063.1)". Lineage: Eukaryota; Metazoa; Chordata; Actinopteri; Pleuronectiformes; Scophthalmidae. The record is from RNAcentral.